CCUACGGGUGGCAGCAGUGAGGAAUAUUGGUCAAUGGGCGCGAGCCUGAACCAGCCAAGCCGCGUGAGGGAAGACGGUCCUAUGUAUUGUAAACCUCUUUUGUCGGGGAGCAAAUGACGCCACGCGUCGCAGUCCGCGAGUACCCGAAGAAAAAGCAUCGGCUAACUCCGUGCCAGCAGCCGCGGUAAUACGGAGGAUGCGAGCGUUAUCCGGAUUUAUUGGGUUUAAAGGGUGCGCAGGCGGAAGUUUAAGUCAGCGGUAAAAUCGAGGGGCUAAACCUCGUCGAGCCGUUGAAACUGGUAGUCUUGAGUGAGAGAGAAGUAUGCGGAAUGCGUGGUGUAGCGGUGAAAUGCAUAGAUAUCACGCAGAACUCCGAUUGCGAAGGCAGCAUGCCGGCGCUAAACUGACGCUGAGGCACGAAAGUGUGGGUAUCGAACAGGAUUAGAUACCCGAGUAGUC
RNAcentral lists this ribosomal RNA (459 nucleotides) under uncultured bacterium. RNAcentral's name for it is "partial 16S ribosomal RNA". It matches the Rfam family "Bacterial small subunit ribosomal RNA", at positions 338 to 795 of the family's 1533-position model. The record is from RNAcentral.